RNAcentral lists this small nucleolar RNA (205 nucleotides) under Xenopus laevis (African clawed frog). Its description in RNAcentral is "Small nucleolar RNA U3". It matches the Rfam family "Small nucleolar RNA U3". From Rfam's summary of the family: Small nucleolar RNAs (snoRNAs) are involved in the processing and modification of rRNA in the nucleolus. Lineage: Eukaryota; Metazoa; Chordata; Amphibia; Anura; Pipidae. The record is from Rfam by way of RNAcentral.
AGGACUAUACUUUCAGGAAUCAUUUCUAUAGGUUUUGUUGUGUGAAAUGUGCUUAAUAGUGUCCAAACUCACUUGCAAUGAUGAUGUGUUUGAGUGUUCUUUUCUAUCGUGAAAAGCAGUAACAGUUUUGUUGUGUGGUGGAUGUUGCCUGUUACUGAUGAGUUUCCUGUUCUUUUUCCGAGGAAGAGAACUCAAUCUGAGUGGU